GACGCUGGCGGCGUGCCUAAUACAUGCAAGUCGAGCGAACGGACGAGAAGCUUGCUUCUCUGCUGUUAGCGGCGGACGGGUGAGUAACACGUGGAUAACCUACCUAUAAGACUGGGAUAACUUCGGGAAACCGGAGCUAAUACCGGAUAAUAUUUUGAACCGCAUGGUUCAAAAGUGAAAGACGGUCUUGCUGUCACUUAUAGAUGGAUCCGCGCUGCAUUAGCUAGUUGGUAAGGUAACGGCUUACCAAGGCAACGAUGCAUAGCCGACCUGAGAGGGUGAUCGGCCACACUGGAACUGAGACACGGUCCAGACUCCUACGGGAGGCAGCAGUAGGGAAUCUUCCGCAAUGGGCGAAAGCCUGACGGAGCAACGCCGCGUGAGUGAUGAAGGUCUUCGGAUCGUAAAACUCUGUUAUUAGGGAAGAACAUAUGUGUAAGUAACUGUGCACAUCUUGACGGUACCUAAUCAGAAAGCCACGGCUAACUACGUGC
This 494-nucleotide ribosomal RNA is filed under the name uncultured bacterium. Its description in RNAcentral is "partial 16S ribosomal RNA". It matches the Rfam family "Bacterial small subunit ribosomal RNA", at positions 32 to 508 of the family's 1533-position model. The record is from RNAcentral.